CCUACGGGAGGCAGCAGUGAGGAAUAUUGGUCAAUGGGCGCGAGCCUGAACCAGCCAAGUAGCGUGAAGGAUGACUGCCCUACGGGUUGUAAACUUCUUUUAUAAAAGAAUAAAGUGAGGCACGCGUACCUUUUUGUAAGUAUUUUACGAAUAAGGAUCGGCUAACUCCGUGCCAGCAGCCGCGGUAAUACGGAGGAUCCGAGCGUUAUCCGGAUUUAUUGGGUUUAAAGGGAGCGUAGGCGGUUGGUUAAGUCAGAUGUGAAAGUUUGCGGCUCAACUGUAAAAUUGCAACUGAUACUGGCAGUCUAGAGUACAGUUGAGGUAGGCGGAAUGUGUGGUGUAGCGGUGAAAUGCUUAGAUAUCACGAAGAACUCCGAUUGCGAAGGCAGCUUACCAAGCUACCUCUGACGUUGAUGCUCGAAAGUGUGGGGAUCAAACAGGAUUAGAUACCCUUGUAGUC
RNAcentral lists this ribosomal RNA (460 nucleotides) under uncultured bacterium. Its description in RNAcentral is "partial 16S ribosomal RNA". It matches the Rfam family "Bacterial small subunit ribosomal RNA", at positions 338 to 795 of the family's 1533-position model. The record is from RNAcentral.